This 3190-nucleotide long non-coding RNA is filed under the name Vigna radiata. Its description in RNAcentral is "long non-coding RNA (VRAD_LNC009491)". Lineage: Eukaryota; Viridiplantae; Streptophyta; Magnoliopsida; Fabales; Fabaceae. The record is from RNAcentral.
CUUAAGUUAGACGGCGUCGUUUUGGUGCGUUCUGGCUACAGCUUCUUGGGGGUCUGAGAUUCGUAAAUCAUUUUGGCAAAAUGAAAGAAGCCCUCGAGCAUUUGAGAAAGAGAAAGGAAACCCAUCAGCUAGGGUUCGUGAAGAAAAGAAGGGUUCAGCUAGGGUUCGUGAAUCAGCAAUGAGAAGAAGAAGAAAGCAGCAGUUCGUUAUCUGAGUUGGUCGGAAGCAUGUGCGGAGCUUGAAUAGUUGGAGACCAGGUUCAGAGUUAGUUGAAGGCCAAACGAGAAGCUUCUGAGUUAGUUUGUGAUUCCCCUCAUUUUCCCUUUUUCUCUCUUUUUCUGUUUUCAAUCUUUUCUAUAAAAGGAAGUCUUUGUAAUGAACAAUAUACGUGCACUGGGUGACAGGCAGUGUACUUAGACUAGGUUUUUGCAUUCUCUCGCUUUAGAGUAGAUAGUGGUGGGUGACAGACAUCACUUGUAGGGUUUACAUUGCGAUUCAGUUUUCAAUUCUUGGUUUAGUUUAGGUUUAUCAAGCUUUUCUUAGAGAUAGAACUCCACUCUUUUCUCCGGAAGUCGGAGAUGAUCACAUUGGGUAACAGACUUUGUGGAUAAUCUUUGAUUUAUGGUAUCUAGUAUUUUCAUUUCAGCUUGCAAUACAAAGUUUAUGUUUCUGUUUGUUCCAAUUUACAUUUCUUUGAUCGCCUUUCAAUUCAAUUUACAUUUCUUGCCUUUGAAUUUACUUUUUCAGCAAUUUUAUUGAUUAUGCUUAUGAUUUAGGUUCUUGCAUUGAUUCCAUUCUUUUGAUACUGGUUUCUGAAUUUGAUGAUGUGUUCAUAUUAGAGUUAACAUUUUGAUUCUGUUUCUUAUUGCUUUUAGAGUAGUUUUAUGAUGUUCUUGAUGAGUGAUAUGAUAUAUUUUUGGAUUGUAUCAAUAUUGGGUUGAUGAAUUGAGUGAGAGUCACCAUUUCAAGUCCUGCAAUAUGGACUCAAAGACCCUAAAGUGGGCUUUAUUUUACCGGAUGUCUUCUUGAGAGUGACUGAGACUCUUUUCACUAAAUCAAUAUGUGUUAAAUCUGAAAAUUGUUUUCAAUUGAAUUCCUUGUAUGAUUCUUUGCUUAGUUGGUUUGUUAGAUGAUAGAUUUAGGAAAAUUGCUUCAUUCUUGUUUCAGUUUUGUAUUUUUAGUAUUGUUACCAUUUGAGAUCUUUUUUGUCUUGCAAUUUUAAAUUUUCAUUUGUAGAAUUAGGAAUCUCACGUGUUUUGUCCCUGCAUCUAGAAUUAAGCAUUUAGUUUCUUUAUUUUUUUUUUAUGCAUCUGGUUUUAGUUUCUUUAGGUUCAAUAGUUAAAUUUCUUAGCAUUAAUCAUUUUAGCAGAUAUAAUCAUGCAUUUUCAUAUUUUAGAUUUCAUAAAUUUUUCUUUCCCCACCUAGUAAUAGUAAAUAAGUAAAAUAUGUUUUAAUUCUACAAAUUCUAAACUUAACAAGAAUCCAGUCCUUCGAUUAGACCCUAGGUUACCCCUAUACUACAUUAGUCGGGAAUUUAGGUUUGUUGAGCUUUAAUGCAACUAAAAAGCCUUUCAACACACCUCCUACUCUCCCAAUCAUAAUUGAUUCAAGAGUUCUAAAGGGAGUUUUCCAAACUUUGAACUCUUAUCUUUUCAUUAAUGAUUCUCAUUUCUUGAUUUCAACCUUUACUUUUGAAAGUCUUUUACCUCCACUAUCACUUCCCAUUAUUUUUAACUCCUCAAUAACCUUUGAAAAAUCACUCUUUGAGUUGUUGUUACCUCACAAGUUACAAAUAACUCAAGGUGAACAAAAAUAUUUUUGUAAGUUAGGUCUUAUAACUUUUGAAUAAACUAAAACAAGAGAUGUCCUAUACUUCAAGUGUUUUGAGAGAAGGAACAUUUAUUUUGAAUAUCCUCCCAAAAGAACAUUGCUUUCAAAAGAUCAACAUACAAGAAGCUUGGAUAACUCUCAUUCUUCACCUAGUGAAGAAAAAGUUUUAGAUUCUGUAGAAAAUAUAAAUUUUCCUCAUGAAAAUCUUUUCAAAAAUAAAAGGCCUUAUUUCUUUCUUCUUUUGUAUAUGCUUUUAUCACUAGAACAACUUUUUGAAAUAAAGGCCAACAAUACUUUUCAUAAAACCCUUUCCAAAAACAAAAGACCUUCUUUCUUUGUUCUUUUGUUUAAGUCUAUUCUUUUAAUAAUACUCCGAUUUGCUAUUUGUAGUAGGUACAUUUUUUAUCUAGGAGGAGAUCAUUACACAAAAAGUUGUGCUUCCUCAAAUAUCUUUCCGAUCUAGGACAAAUCAUUUUUAGGAGGGAGCGUAUGAUGGAAUCCGUUUUGAGAACUAAAUGGAGAUCCAUGAAGGGAGCAUCAACUAAAGCUAAGGCUAGGAUAUUGGAAGAAGAAGAAGGACUUUCAAGCUUGUUCUUGUGUUCCCUUAAGCCUUAGAAGACAUUAGACCUCUCAUAAAGAGCCAUGGUCAAAGAAGAUGGAAGAAGAAGAUGGAGCUUGAAGGAUUCUAGUCUUAUGGACGGUCACAUUUUAGUCUUCUUCUUUAUCUUAAAACACAUUUUGUAAAUAUGUAAUAUAGCUCCUUUAUAGGCCUUGUAUUUGGCCAAGACACUUUGUUUAGCUUUGCUUAGAAGGUUUGAUGGCUUUAAGAGUUAAAAAUGGGUUAAAAAUGGGUUUUGGAAGGAGUUAGUUGCAAGGAGUCUUUGCAUUAAAUGCUUUGACUAAGUUAGUUACAAAGCAUAAAGCUUCUCACAUUUAAUGUUUAGCCUCCUCAUUUAAUGCUUAGGCUCCUCAUUUAAUGUUUAGGUUUCUCAUUUAAUGAUGAGGCUUCUUAUUAAAUGAUGAAAAGGCUCCUAAGUACUUCAUAUGUACUCUAGCCUUCUCUUUCACCUAUAAAAAGAGAGGCACCCUUUUGUAAUCCUUCUCUUCUUAAGUUCUCAUCUUAUGAAAUUGUCUUCUUCUAAACUUCUUCAUAAAUUCUCCUUAAUGGUUGGCUUAACUUCCUAGAAAGACAUCUACCAAGACCAUACAACACCAACAUCUUCAUCUCUUCAUAUCUAUUUUCUUGCGCUACUUUUAUUGAUCAUCAUGGAGUCCACCCCUUUAAAGAAGCUUCCCCAAUUCAUCAUGGAUAUCAUCUUAUGUUGAAGGAACCUCUUCAAAGCAAUCUCCAUCAUUAAGC